GACCUGGAUCUAUGCGGCUGCAACGCCUAAACCUUGUCAGGACCGGAAGGUAGCAGCAACAUGGGAUGCUUGUAGUAGGCGUAGUCUCCGGGUUCCC
Molecule: signal recognition particle RNA, 97 nt
Filed under: Nostoc sp. CMAA1605
Lineage: Bacteria; Bacillati; Cyanobacteriota; Cyanophyceae; Nostocales; Nostocaceae
Description: signal recognition particle sRNA small type
Rfam family: Bacterial small signal recognition particle RNA
About the family: The signal recognition particle (SRP) is a universally conserved ribonucleoprotein involved in the co-translational targeting of proteins to membranes. Archaeal SRP consists of a 7S RNA and homologues of the eukaryotic SRP19 and SRP54 proteins. In most bacteria, the SRP consists of a 4.5S RNA and the Ffh protein (a homologue of the eukaryotic SRP54 protein).
Source: RNAcentral